Molecule: ribosomal RNA, 253 nt
Filed under: Blautia wexlerae DSM 19850
Lineage: Bacteria; Bacillati; Bacillota; Clostridia; Lachnospirales; Lachnospiraceae
Description: partial 16S ribosomal RNA
Rfam family: Bacterial small subunit ribosomal RNA
Source: RNAcentral
UACGUAGGGGGCAAGCGUUAUCCGGAUUUACUGGGUGUAAAGGGAGCGUAGACGGUGUGGCAAGUCUGAUGUGAAAGGCAUGGGCUCAACCUGUGGACUGCAUUGGAAACUGUCAUACUUGAGUGCCGGAGGGGUAAGCGGAAUUCCUAGUGUAGUGGUGAAAUGCGUAGAUAUUAGGAGGAACACCAGUGGCGAAGGCGGCUUACUGGACGGUAACUGACGUUGAGGCUCGAAAGCGUGGGGAGCAAACAGG